This 887-nucleotide long non-coding RNA is filed under the name Helianthus annuus (common sunflower). Its description in RNAcentral is "sRNA HanXRQr2_Chr11g0481011". Lineage: Eukaryota; Viridiplantae; Streptophyta; Magnoliopsida; Asterales; Asteraceae. The record is from RNAcentral.
UCUUCUUAGUGGCCGCUUUCUCAAUCGGAAAUGGCACAGCCAAGUAGUAAGCCUGAAGACGACAUCAAAACGGUAAAACCAGUGUUACAAUAUUUGCAAGUACUCGAAUAGUGAAUUUAUAAACUUUUUAUAAGGAUGAUAACCUGGAAGUGAAGGUGAUUGAUGGUGGCGAAUGCACCCAAGCUAUUAGGCAACUUAGAGCCUAAAUCCAAAAUCAACACAAAACCCACAUGUUAAAAAGACUCAAAUCAUGCAAAGAAACAUCUUCACCUUCAAAAAGAACAUAUUAUAAGCUAGGCAUUUAAUCAAACACCUGGCAGACAACAUUUUCUGAGACAAUUCCGACCGCAGCCACGUGCAACACCACCUUCCUCAGCCUCCUCCUUUUGAUAAUUCGAAAGAAUAGUAGGAACCCUCUUAAUCCUCAACAUCCUCUUCUUCAAAUCGUUGGUAAUUUAAACAAACAGCGAUCAAGCAAGCAGAUUUUGGCAGAUUAUGUUAUAACAAUAAUAAUAACAAUAAUAUUGGUACGUAUUCUAAGCCUAAUAUAACCUAAGCUACAAGAAAGAGAAAGAAGAUGGAACCACCGCCGGCGAGAAAGAGGAGGUCAGAAGGGCUACCGCCUUCGGACGGCAAAGCGCCGCGUCCGCCGUGCGUAGAAGGGUUGCUCUCAAUGGUUAUUGAACGACCCUUCUGGCGUACCGAUCGGACAUGUGCGAGUGGACGCGUUGCCCCGUGUAUAGCCGUGAUGUCUGCAACUUGUCGUUCCCGGGUUUUACCCCAAACCUGUGCUCUUUCUCCGGCGAGAAGGUUCGAUCUUUUUCUCUCUCUUUUUUCUGCGGUAACAGGUACCGUGAUUGCAAUAGUGGAAAAGGGGUGAUUUUGUA